AUACAUCCCUUGCUCUCUCUUUGUGUGUGUGUACAUUGAGAUUUCUUAAGUUAUAUUUUAUUUAUUUAUUUAUUUAUUUAUUUAUUUAUUUAUUUAUUUUUGAGACAGGGUUUCUCUGUAUAGCCCUGGCUGUCCUGGAACUCACUUUGUAGACCAGGCUGGCCUCGAACUCAGAAAUCUGCCUGCCGAUGCCUCCUGAGUGCUGGGAUUAAAGGUGUGCGCCCCCCCAACCCCCACCCCCAAAAAAAAAGAAAAAGAAAAAGGAGUGCACUACCAUGCCCAGCUCUUAAAAAAUGUAUUUUUAUGUGCACUGGUGUUUGAGGGUGUCAGAUUCCCUGGAGCUGGAGUUGCAGACAUUUGUGAGAUGGCAUGUGGUUGCUGGGAAUUGAACUCAGGACCCCUGGAAGACCAGCCAAUUCUUUUAACCGCUGAAUCAUCUCUUCAGUAUCCUUAUUAGUAUUUUUAAGAUAGUUUUACUAUGUAGCCCUGGCAACAUGAGUUUUGAGUUGGAAGCCUUAUUCCUUCUGUGACAUCUUCAUACCUCAGUAAUAGAACCUGUUAAUUGGGUUUAUGCCUUUCACUCAAUGUUGAGCUCCCUGGGAAGACUGAAUACUGGUUGCCUUGCUGUGUAUAUUUUGGUAUUCCCUACCAUGUAGUAUAGUUUAUGGGCACACAGGAAAGAUUGUCUUAGUCUUAUCUUUAGUUUGGCAAGAAUGCAAAGAGAUCAGCAAUGAUAUAAUAAAUUGAUUUGGUUUGUUUUGGAGGCUAGGAAGUCUAAGAACAUGGUAUCAACAUCUGAGAUGGUCAAUCAUGCUGUAUAUUUUCAUGUGGAUUGCAGGUUUUACUGUGUGGUCCUGGAUGGCACUCUGUAUUUUCGAUGGCAAAUCUCAUGGUGAUAAUCUUUUUCUUUGUGGUACUAGGAAUUGAACUGGGAGCCUUUUGAAUGCUCUCAAGUGCCCUACCACUGAACUAUAUAUCUCUUCAGUUCUUUUUUGUAUUUUGUUUUGUGACUGGUUUUACUAAGCAGUUGUCCAGGGUUGGCCUUGCUCACACUCUAGGCAAGGCAGGCCUUGAUCUUAUAUUCCAUCUCAAGUCUUCCAGGCUUGUUCCACUAGGCCAGACUUAAUUUAACAUUAAACCAUUCUUGAAGGUCCAACCUUGUUUAUCUUUUACUAGCACCCAGUUUCUAAAAAUUGAACUUUGGGAAACACAUUCAAAUCAUAACAAAUAUGUUUUCAAUGAAUACUUACCUUAUUUAGGUUUCUCUUUCUGUUAGAACAUUGGUGUUAGUUGCUCAUGAAAGGACAAUGAGUCCAUUUGUUUAAAUUUAGCCAUUUCUUGAAGACAUUCUGAAAUCCUGCAAUAAUCCCACCAUCGGUCCAGUCUAGUUAAUGCUAUAGUUCAUUAAUACUUAAGUAAGUAUCUUAGAGUUUUAUUGCUGUGAAGAGACACCAUGACCAAGGUAAAGGUAACUCUUGUGAAAGAAAACAUUUAACUGAGACAGUUUGAGAGGUUCAGUGAUCUUGGUGGGAAACAUGGCAGUGUGUAGCCAGACAUGGUGGCAGAAGAGCAGAGAAUUCGACAUCUUAAAGAUUUAUUUAUUUAUUUUAUGUAUAUGUAUAUGCCUCUGCUCGCUCAGGCCCAAAGAUUUAUUUAUUAUUAGAAAUAAGUACACUGUAGCUGUCUUCAGACACAUCUGAAGAGGGUGUCAGAUCUCAUUACUGGUAGUUGUGAGCCACCACGUGGUUGCUGGGAUUUGAACUCAGGACCUUCAGGAGAGCAGUCAGUGCUCUUACCCACUGAGCCAUCUAACCAGCCUGAGAAUUCUACAUCUUGGCAGCAGCCAGGAGGAGGUUCUCCCCCACUGGGCGGAGCUUGUUCAUAGGCCCUCAAAGCCUACCCACACAGUGACACAUUUCCUCUAACAAGGACACCUCCUAAUAGUAUUUCCAGUGGUCCAAGCAUUCAGACACAUGAGUCUAUGAGGGCCAAAUCUAUUCUAACCACUGUGUAGUAAGUUAUGGUUUUUUGUUUUUGUUUUGUUUUAUAUAAUACACUUUAAUGGUAAAAUUUUGACAACACAUUGUAUAUCUGACACCAUCUUCUACUUGAGCCUCUAUCCAGGCAACUCAGAAACAGAAAGGUAGUCACUGCAUGUCCACUAGUCACAGGAGCCCUAAGAAAACAAAGACUUACUUCUCUGGCUUAGAGUAGUUAAGUUUUACAUGUUACUAUAGUAACAUUUACAUGUUACAUGUUUAACACAUGUUACAUGUUUAACAAGUAAAUUUUACAUGUUUUUUAAAAUUGUCUAUAUGCGCUUCUACCUCAGUUUAAACAAAAUAGGAAAAUAAAGGCCAGCUUUGUAUAGCUUUUCACAAGUCUUUCACCUUCCUUUUUCAUUAACCCUUUACCAGAAGUUCUGAAUUCCGAUCGUUAUAGGAAUCUUCUUUUAUUACAAGCUACUCUUUUGUUUUGAUUUGUUUUGUAUUUUGUUAUUCAAGACAGGGUUUCACUUUGGUAGCCCUGGCUGUCAUGGAACUUGCUCUAUAGACAACUCACAGAGAUCUGCCUGCUUAGGCAUGAACCACUACAUCCAGGUUAAACAUACCUUUUUAAUACAUAAUAGGUUGUUUUAUUUUUAAGUUGUUUCCAUAAAGAUAGAGAAAAUUAUGGUUUAGGAGGCCAUGAAGAUGGCUCAGUAGUUUAGAGUACUUGCUGGCAAUAACAAGCACUAGAGUACAAAUUCCAGGCUGUCUGCAACAAGCUAGGCUUCCUGAAUAUGCCUCUGAGCCCCAAGUCCCGGGGAAACAAAGACAGGAGAGUCACUGGGGCUUCUGCUUUGCAGGAUAGCAGAGAAAAUGUGAAUAAUUUCUGGGUUCUAGGAGAGAUCUUGCCUCAAAGGGAUAGGUGGAGAGACACCAACACCCUUUUCUGCCUUCCAGAUGUGCAUUCACUUAUACAGGCACAUAAGCUCAUAUAUUUAUAAAAAUAUAAUUUUUUUUUAAAGAAACAGCUGGUUGUUGUGGUACACUCUUUAAUUUCAGUACUUUGGAGUCAGAGAUAGACAGAUCUUUUGAGUUUGUGGCCAACCAGAGCUACAUAGAGACCCUAUUUCC
This 3119-nucleotide long non-coding RNA is filed under the name Mus musculus (house mouse). RNAcentral describes it as "long non-coding RNA chr7:110126899-110130018". The record is from RNAcentral. Lineage: Eukaryota; Metazoa; Chordata; Mammalia; Rodentia; Muridae.